CUCGGUGUGUAGUGCACGUAUGUAGGGCGUAUAGAGUGAUUUGGGAUACAGCCGUAGCCCUGUUCAAGUUUAUCUACAAGGGACGCACACGUUCACACUUCCUGCUGAGCCAAAACAAGCCAAGGACAUGGCGACUAAAUCUGCUGUCCGGCUGAGGAGGGAGGAGCUCACAUCGCGCGUGCAUUGUCUGUUGCUAUGGCAUCUACGUAGUGAAACGCGCGAGGAGAACCAUGAUCCAGCUUGCUUGGGCAUAAACUCUUCAGUCCUCACCAGUAUGCAUCAUAUCCCUGACUUCCAGCUGUAACACCCAGCAAGGGCAGACUGUUAAACUGGGCUCAAGAGAGCCAUUUCAGCAAGUAAAGAGGAAAAGCAGAGAUAGCGCAAGAGUGAGAACAUAUCAGUGGGCCAGACUUCACAGGAACAGAAGUGAAGAAAGACUGAAAUAACACUUGGAGGCUUGCCAUUAAAUGUCAUCUGCCUAUCUGAAUAAGUGAAAAAUCUGAGGUGUAAAAUAAUGCCAAUGAAAACACUUUUUUUUUUAUCUGGUAUUAACAAUAUAUGCAUACAGACCACGUGUGACAGCAUACAGGUAGUUGGUUAUUUUGUCAUUUUUACAUAUUGUACAUUUCAUGUUUAUUUUUAUAAAAUAUAUGCAACAACAUAUGAGUUACUAGUACUGCAAAAUUAACUCCAGGUUGUUGUUUUUUUCAGUGGAAUUGAUUAAGUUUUCUUUAAUGAUACUAUUAUUCCCUUCUCUUUAACAUUUCAGUUACAGUUUUCCUGUUCACUGUAUAGCGAUCAUAAUAGGGAGCACAAUUAUAUUUCUAAAUACUUCAUUCACUGAAAUAAAUAUAAAUAUAAAUAUAACUGAAAAGACUUUGAACACAAUGUAUAAACAUUUUUUGUUGAUCAUCAAGGAAUGGGUUCAGGUUAUGACCUCGUAGAUCUCUCUAAUUAGGUACUUGAAGCAGACAAAGUACAUGUAUAUUUGUCUUGGUAGUGGAUACACUGUCUAGUCCCAGAGUCUGUGGUUCGAUUCUGCGCUAAGGUUACUGUCUAUGUGGAGUUUCCCAUGUUCUCCCCACGUCUGUGUAGGUAUCAUUUUAGGUUCUCUGGUUUUCUCCCACCUCCCAUACACAUGCAUGUGUAGAACAUCCCUCCAACAGCAGUGUGUCUCUAGCUGAGGAUUUCCAGUAGAACCUCUUUAACAAAGAACCCUUAGAGGAACCUUUUUCUGGCAUUCUAGUCCAACAUUCCAC
Molecule: long non-coding RNA, 1259 nt
Organism: Ictalurus punctatus (channel catfish)
Lineage: Eukaryota; Metazoa; Chordata; Actinopteri; Siluriformes; Ictaluridae
Exons: 3
Source: RefSeq, a predicted model, not a curated record